Molecule: transfer RNA, 73 nt
Filed under: Ignavibacteriota bacterium
Lineage: Bacteria; Pseudomonadati; Ignavibacteriota
Also listed under: 2 other names
Description: Ignavibacteriae bacterium (activated sludge metagenome) tRNA-Trp
Rfam family: tRNA
About the family: Transfer RNA (tRNA) molecules are approximately 80 nucleotides in length. Their secondary structure includes four short double-helical elements and three loops (D, anti-codon, and T loops).
Source: RNAcentral
ACGAGUGUAGCUCAAUUGGUAGAGCAACGGUCUCCAAAACCGUAGGUUGCGGGUUCAAGUCCUGCCACUCGUG